Molecule: long non-coding RNA, 605 nt
Filed under: Equus asinus (donkey)
Lineage: Eukaryota; Metazoa; Chordata; Mammalia; Perissodactyla; Equidae
Description: lncRNA (ENSEASG00005030423.1)
Source: RNAcentral
CCCAUUCUAAUGAAUUCUCCCCGACAGCAGGAACUUUGUCUUAUUCCUCUUACAGCUCCCGUGCCCAGAAUAAUGUGGGGAGGCUCUGGAACAUUUGUUGAAUGAAUGCAGCUGGUCUGAUCCCAUUGGACUAGACUGCUGCCAAUCACAAAACUUAGAGCUGGGAGGGAUUCGAAAAUGGCAACUCAUCCAUCCUCCCUGCAAAGAAGUCAAGACCAUGCAGGUGAACCGGUGCCCUGAAGUCAAAGUCAUGAGAAACAUCGCAGUCCAGGACGGGCAGCUCAGAGAGCCAGCCACUGGCAAAGGGCCCGCUCAGCACAUCCUGUGGGGGAGGGUUCAGAUGCCAGACCCUUACCAAGCAGCCAGGGGUCAGGCCACCUCGGAGAGACAUUCUUUAGUGAGAAAAGGAAGAGGCUUUACCCCAUUUUUCAUAGCGGCAGAUGCAGCAGGUUCACAGGAAACAAAUGCACAGCAGCCCCUUUCCAUGAAUUGGAGGAGGAGGAGAGAUGGAGAGAUGGCGAGAUGGCGGCCAGUGAGGAAGGGGCCAAUGGGCAAGGAAGGAAAUGCACCAAGAAAAAAGAGGAAGGAAGUGUUUGUUUCUAUUA